CCCGCUGAACUUAAGCAUAUCAAUAAGCGGAGGAAAAGAAACCAACAGGGAUUGCCUCAGUAACUGCGAGUGAAGCGGCAACAGCUCAAAUUUGAAAUCUGGCUCUUCUAUGGCCCGAGAUGUGAUUUGUAGAGAAUGCUUCGUCGUCGGCUCCGAUCUAAGUUCCUGGCAACAUGACGUCAUAGAGGGUGAGACUCUCGUAUGUGAGUCGAUUGCCUUUGCCAUGCGAAGCUCAUUCGACGAGUCGAGUUGUCUGGGAAUGCAGCUCUAAAUGGGAGGUAAAUUUGUUCUAGAGCUAAAUGCCGGCCAUGAGACCGAUUGCGCACAAGUAGAGUGACAGAACGAUGAAUAGCUCUUAGGAAAGAGAGUCAAAUCGUUCGUGACAUUGUAGAAUGGGAAGCGCUUGCAACCAGUCCACCCCGCAGUUGUUCGUCUGGGCUUCUGCCCGGCGCACUGUUAUAGCUGCCAGGCCAGCAUCACUUCGUGCGGUCGGAUAAAGACUUUCGGAAUGCAGCUCCUCUCGGGGAGUGUUAUACCCCGCUCCCAAAUGCGUCCAGCCUGUACUGAGCUCCUCGCUUCGCCUAGGAUGCUGGCGUAAUGGCUGUAAGCGACCCGUCUUGAAACACGG
Molecule: ribosomal RNA, 628 nt
Filed under: uncultured fungus
Lineage: Eukaryota; Fungi
Description: eukaryotic LSU rRNA
Rfam family: Eukaryotic large subunit ribosomal RNA
Source: RNAcentral